Molecule: long non-coding RNA, 1055 nt
Organism: Daphnia pulex (common water flea)
Lineage: Eukaryota; Metazoa; Arthropoda; Branchiopoda; Diplostraca; Daphniidae
Exons: 13
Source: RefSeq, a predicted model, not a curated record
UAGGGAACAACCGACCGAAGCUAUCUUCGGGAAGUGUCAUCGUCGUACUAAUUCAUUGUAUUCUCAAUCUUCAAACUCCUAACAUGUUGAAAUCUUACGUACCAGGUAAUGGACAAGUGCAGUGGGUUGGAAGAAUAAGGGAUGUGGUGCCUUGUAGAUGAAAUAUUUGGAAGGUUGAUUCCUGACCUCACUUGGUUUUGCACUAGCUGUAUUGUAUCUUCCAGAAUUCGCUGGCUUCUAUGUAAUUGAGGAAUUGAGAGAAGAUUCCAUGCCUAGACAUUUCGUGGAGGAUUGAUCUCGACUGUUACGGCUAUGGAGGAGGCAGUGGGUGUGCAUUACACUAGAUGAGAUACAAUCAUGAAGGUGUUUGCGAUUCUUAGAUUGUCUUGUUUAACAACCGCCGUCGAUUGUUGAGCUACUGGGCCAAAAACUGGAGUUUCAUUUUCUUUCGUUUCGAUAUGUUUGAUGCUGGUGAUUUCAUGAUCUACGUAGUAAUGUGGUAUUGCUUCUUGGUCAACGUCAUCGGGAAUCCGAGGAGUUCAUUUUACACAAGAUGGACUGGUUUAUUGUUCGGUGUUUUUUUUCUGGCGCCAUCUUCAUAGGAUAUUAGGUUGCUCGGUCGGUUGUCUUGGAGUACUUGGCGAGGAUGUUAUUGGGUCUGACUACGGUCUAUUGGAUUGUAGGAGAUUUUGUUUAUAUACGUUUUCUUGAUAAAUCCCUGUUGUCGAGGGAUAUAUGCGGUGGGACGCUGGAUUUAAUAGUGUCGGCCUAAGGAGUCCUGAGGUGUGUUAAUUUUCGAUCCGUUGCUUAACGUCUGUGGGAUGGUAUGGAGUUAUGAAACUUGCACAAGUUUGUCGCAGUUUUGAAGGUCUUUGGAUUUGGAGCGAAGUUUAUUGUAAAGUUCCGAUACAGCAGUAUGGACGAAAAUGUUACUGGGAAAUUAGUGUCAUUAUGGGAGAAAUUAGUAACAAUAGAUAGACUUAUUAUCUGUUUUUGAUUCUGUUUCCUUUUCCAAUUGCAUAAUACAACAUGAUCACUAUGUGUGUAUAAUCUGC